Molecule: ribosomal RNA, 551 nt
Filed under: uncultured bacterium
Lineage: Bacteria
Description: bacterial SSU rRNA
Rfam family: Bacterial small subunit ribosomal RNA
Source: RNAcentral
UAGGGAAUCUUCGGCAAUGGACGGAANUCUGGACCGAGCAACGCCGCGUGAGUGAAGAAGGUUUUCGGAUCGUAAAGCUCUGUUGUAAGAGAAGAACGAGUGUGAGAGUGGAAAGUUCACACUGUGACGGUAUCUUACCAGAAAGGGACGGCUAACUACGUGCCAGCAGCCGCGGUAAUACGUAGGUCCCGAGCGUUGUCCGGAUUUAUUGGGCGUAAAGCGAGCGCAGGCGGUUAGAAAAGUCUGAAGUGAAAGGCAGUGGCUCAACCAUUGUAGGCUUUGGAAACUGUUUAACUUGAGUGCAGAAGGGGAGAGUGGAAUUCCAUGUGUAGCGGUGAAAUGCGUAGAUAUAUGGAGGAACACCGGUGGCGAAAGCGGCUCUCUGGUCUGUAACUGACGCUGAGGCUCGAAAGCGUGGGGAGCGAACAGGAUUAGAUACCCUGGUAGUCCACGCCGUAAACGAUGAGUGCUAGGUGUUAGGUCCUUUCCGGGACUUAGUGCCGCAGCUAACGCAUUAAGCACUCCGCCUGGGGAGUACGACCGCAAGNUGG